CACCGGCUGGCUUCCUCCACCUCCACCUUCACUCCCGGGGACGCUGGCGGCUCGAACUCGGACUCAGCCCGGGGAAUCUCCCCAAGAAAGGUAGGAGCGCCAGCCCUGGAGUUAGAUCUGCCUUUGGAUGAGUGUCCUAAUCUCUGCAGAGCCAUAUCCUCCCCUGUAAAAGAAGAGCCACCAGACAUCACCGACUUGGCCAGUAGAGCAGCCAUGUUGUAAGGACACUCAAGCUACCCUAUGAAGAAGCCAGCCUACAUGGCAAGGAACUGACACAUCAAAACCUUGGCAGGUACCUCCAGCCACAAACACCUGCAGCCCCAGCUGCUCCCAG
Long non-coding RNA from Globicephala melas (long-finned pilot whale), 334 nucleotides. RefSeq lists it as uncharacterized. The record is from RefSeq and is a predicted model, not a curated record. NCBI's taxonomy places the organism in Eukaryota, Metazoa, Chordata, Mammalia, Artiodactyla, Delphinidae.